This 206-nucleotide ribosomal RNA is filed under the name uncultured bacterium. RNAcentral describes it as "partial 16S ribosomal RNA". It matches the Rfam family "Bacterial small subunit ribosomal RNA", at positions 568 to 774 of the family's 1533-position model. The record is from RNAcentral.
UGCGCAGGCGGUUUUGUAAGACAGAGGUGAAAUCCCCGGGCUCAACCUGGGAACUGCCUUUGUGACUGCAAAGCUGGAGUACGGCAGAGGGGGAUGGAAUUCCGCGUGUAGCAGUGAAAUGCGUAGAUAUGCGGAGGAACACCGAUGGCGAAGGCAGUCCCCUGGGCCUGUACUGACGCUCAUGCACGAAAGCGUGGGAGCAAACA